GGAAACCGGAGCUAAUACCGGAUAAUAUUUUGAACCGCAUGGUUCAAAAGUAAAAGACGGUCUUGCUGUCACUUAUAGAUGGAUCCGCGCUGCAUUAGCUAGUUGGUAAGGUAACGGCUUACCAAGGCAACGAUGCAUAGCCGACCUGAGAGGGUGAUCGGCCACACUGGAACUGAGACACGGUCCAG
RNAcentral lists this ribosomal RNA (188 nucleotides) under uncultured Staphylococcus sp. Its description in RNAcentral is "partial 16S ribosomal RNA". It matches the Rfam family "Bacterial small subunit ribosomal RNA", at positions 152 to 334 of the family's 1533-position model. Lineage: Bacteria; Bacillati; Bacillota; Bacilli; Caryophanales; Staphylococcaceae. The record is from RNAcentral.